UUGCCCUAGUAACGGCGAGUGAAGCGGCAACAGCUCAAAUUUGAAAUCUGGCCUUCUUUGGGGGUCCGAGUUGUAAUUUGCAGAGGGCGCUUUGGCGUCGGCAGCGGUCUAAGUUCCUUGGAACAGGACGUCACAGAGGGUGAGAAUCCCGUACGUGGUCGCCUGCCUUCGCCGUGUAAAGCCCCUUCGACGAGUCGAGUUGUUUGGGAAUGCAGCUCUAAAUGGGAGGUAAAUUUCUUCUAAAGCUAAAUACUGGCCAGAGACCGAUAGCGCACAAGUAGAGUGAUCGAAAGAUGAAAAGCACUUUGGAAAGAGAGUCAAACAGCACGUGAAAUUGUUGAAAGGGAAGCGCUUGCCGCCAGACUUGCCCGUGAAGGUUCUCCUCCUCGGGCAGGCCAGCAUCAGUUUGAGCGAUCGGAUAAUGGCCUCUGUCAUGUAUCUUCCUUCGGGAUGACCUUAUAGGGGAGUCGUAGUACGGUCAGCUUGGACUGAGGUCCGCGCAUUUGCUAGGAUGCUGGCGUAAUGGCUGCAAGCGGCCCGUCUUGAAACACGGACCAAGGAGUCUAACAUCUAUGCGAGUGUUUGGGUGUCAAGCCCGAGCGCGCAAUGAAAGUGAACGGAGGUGGGAACCCUCUCUGGGGGUGCACCAUCGACCGAUCCUGAAGUCUUCGGAUGGAUUUGAGUAAGAGCAUGGCUGUUGGGACCCGAAAGAUGGUGAACUAUGCUUGAAUAGGGUGAAGCCAGAGGAAACUCUGGUGGAGGCUCGCAGCGGUUCUGACGUGCAAAUCGAUCGUCAAAUUUGGGCAUAGGGGCGAAAGACUAAUCGAAC
This 829-nucleotide ribosomal RNA is filed under the name Dictyocheirospora indica. RNAcentral describes it as "LSU rRNA". It matches the Rfam family "Eukaryotic large subunit ribosomal RNA", at positions 75 to 940 of the family's 3401-position model. The record is from RNAcentral. Lineage: Eukaryota; Fungi; Ascomycota; Dothideomycetes; Pleosporales; Dictyosporiaceae.